GGGGAGGUAGCUAGCAAAUGGAGAAUGUGUUACUACGUUACCCCAAGAAAGGAACAAAACUCCACUAAAACACAACACAAAGAAAGCAAAUUUUAAUCAGUUGAACCAGAAGAUAAUCGAUGAAAGACUAAACUAAACAAAGUUUAAACGAUAAGCAUAAAAAAAAAUCACGUACCUAGGAUGCAAUGUCGCAAGAGAGAAAAAGGAGAGGAGGAAGACGAUAAAGAUAUUAGAAACAAUAAUGGAAUGCCGUAAGAGAAAAAAAGAAGAGGUGCUGCAAGAGAAAAAGGAGAAUAGGAAGACGAUAUCAGAAACUGAAUGUUGCGAAGAGUUUGCGAUUUAUUUAAAAUGAAAUUGGGCGUCGGUUUCUCCAGAAACCGACGUCUAUAGUCACAUAGACGUCGAUUAUCUCACUAAUAUGACAUCCAAGUUAACAUUGAAACUGACUUUUUGAAUACCCACUAGACGUCGGUUUCGAGGGGAGCCGACGUCUAGGAAGUUGAACCGAUUGACGUUUGAUUUUCUGUCAGGGAUGUUCACGACAGUUGUGAUGGGGAGCCGACGUUUAUAAUAACGUAGACGUCGGUGCUCAUCUAGCCGACGUCUAAGUCCCUCGAGUUUGGUGAACAUAAUUAAUUACAGGCACAUAGACGUCGCUUCCCCUCAACACCGACGUCUAAAUUGAAGAAUUUUUUGUCUUCCCGCCUUCCAGACAGGCCUUAAACGUCGUCUUUUGACUAUGUGACGUCUAAGCGCCUAGGAAGUAGGUGAAGAGCAUUAAUUGCAGCCCGG
RNAcentral lists this long non-coding RNA (792 nucleotides) under Vigna radiata. Its description in RNAcentral is "long non-coding RNA (VRAD_LNC010501)". The record is from RNAcentral. Lineage: Eukaryota; Viridiplantae; Streptophyta; Magnoliopsida; Fabales; Fabaceae.